GGAGGCUGUAAGGCAGCGUGUCCUGCAUGCCCAGCCCCUGCCAGGCUGGCUCCCAGUGCUGCCGGGUGUUCCUUGUUUGCUGUGGGUGACUCAUCCCAGCUCCUGCUGUCCCUCCUGCUGUCCCUGUGUGCCCACUGCUGCUGCCCGGGCUCACAGCCACCUGCCCUGCUCCCCUGCCUGUCCCAGGUGUCUCUCCCUGCAGAGCUGCUCCCAAGCAGCCAUGGGGAAUAACCUGAGCGUGCCAGAGGAAGCUGAGGAUGACAGCACCUGCACAGUGAAGAGUUACCAGCCUCUCCCCGAGUCUCCCGAGGGUAUCACAAAUGGAUCCGCGGUGUUUGCUCAGAGCCCUCCCCCGGCAGGGAAUGGUGAAGGUACGGACUGGGAAAGGGUUGGAAAUGCCCUGGGG
Molecule: long non-coding RNA, 406 nt
Filed under: Zonotrichia albicollis (white-throated sparrow)
Lineage: Eukaryota; Metazoa; Chordata; Aves; Passeriformes; Passerellidae
Description: lncRNA (ENSZALG00000014887.1)
Source: RNAcentral